UACGAGGGGUGCAAGCGUUGCUCGGAAUUAUUGGGCGUAAAGGGUAGGUAGGUGGUCUCAUUUGUCUGGGGUGAAAGCCUUGGGCUUAACCCAAGAAGUGCCCCGGAAACGGUGAGACUCGAGUCCUGGAGAGGGUCGUGGAAUUCCCGGUGUAGCGGUGAAAUGCGUAGAGAUCGGGAGGAACACCAGAGGCGAAGGCGGCGACCUGGACAGGUACUGACACUAAACUACGAAAGCGUGGGGAGCAAACAGG
This 253-nucleotide ribosomal RNA is filed under the name uncultured bacterium. RNAcentral describes it as "partial 16S ribosomal RNA". It matches the Rfam family "Bacterial small subunit ribosomal RNA", at positions 524 to 776 of the family's 1533-position model. The record is from RNAcentral.